This 450-nucleotide ribosomal RNA is filed under the name uncultured bacterium. Its description in RNAcentral is "bacterial SSU rRNA". It matches the Rfam family "Bacterial small subunit ribosomal RNA", at positions 354 to 796 of the family's 1533-position model. The record is from RNAcentral.
GUGGGGAAUUUUGGACAAUGGGCGCAAGCCUGAUCCAGCAAUGCCGCGUGCAGGAAGAAGGCCUUCGGGUUGUAAACUGCUUUUGUACGGAACGAAACGGUCCUGGCUAAUAUCCGGGGCUAAUGACGGUACCGUAAGAAUAAGCACCGGCUAACUACGUGCCAGCAGCCGCGGUAAUACGUAGGGUGCGAGCGUUAAUCGGAAUUACUGGGCGUAAAGCGUGGGCAGGCGGUGCUGUAAGACAGGCGUGAAAUCCCCGGGCUCAACCUGGGAAUGGCGCUUGUGAUGGCAGUGGUGGAGUGCGGCGGAGGGGGAUGGAAUUCCGCGGGUAGCAGUGAAAUGCGUGGAUAUGCGGAGGAACACCGAUGGCGAAGGCAAUCCCCUGGGCCUGCACUGACGCUCAUGCACGAAAGCGUGGGGAGCAAACAGGAUUAGAAACCCCGGUAGUCC